RNAcentral lists this transfer RNA (37 nucleotides) under Moniliophthora perniciosa FA553. RNAcentral describes it as "tRNA-Gly". The record is from RNAcentral. Lineage: Eukaryota; Fungi; Basidiomycota; Agaricomycetes; Agaricales; Marasmiaceae.
GCAUUAAUGGGGUAGCGGUAACCUCGUCCAUUGCCAU